This is a non-coding RNA of Mycena latifolia, 93 nucleotides long. NCBI's taxonomy places the organism in Eukaryota, Fungi, Basidiomycota, Agaricomycetes, Agaricales, Mycenaceae. The record is from the annotation of a GenBank genome assembly.
GGCUCGAUGGCGGAGGGUCCGCGCCUGCGCUCUUUGUUCGAUCGGCGCAGCCAAUUAUUGCAGGAGGAGCCCGUUCGACUCGGGCUCGAGCCA